RNAcentral lists this microRNA precursor (111 nucleotides) under Loxodonta africana (African savanna elephant). Its description in RNAcentral is "miRNA (ENSLAFG00000028288.1)". Lineage: Eukaryota; Metazoa; Chordata; Mammalia; Proboscidea; Elephantidae. The record is from RNAcentral.
AUUUUUUAGUAUAUAAGCUUGUCUCAAAUAUUGCAUGGGACAUAUUUAUGCUAAAAAACAAAAAGAUUCAUUUUUUAUGGAAAAGUCACAUUUAAUUGGGUGUUUUGUAUU